RNAcentral lists this unclassified non-coding RNA (159 nucleotides) under soil metagenome. Its description in RNAcentral is "partial internal transcribed spacer 1". The record is from RNAcentral.
UAAAUAAGUGUGUUUUAUGGCACUUUUUAAAUCCAUAUCCACCUUGUGUGCACAAUGUCCAGUCGAUCUUUCCUUCCAUGGAGGAGAUGACCAAAACACAUCAACCUUUAUCUUUUAACCCUUUGUCUGAAAAAUAUUAUGAAUAUAACAAUUCAAAUA